Long non-coding RNA from Esox lucius (northern pike), 2683 nucleotides. Lineage: Eukaryota; Metazoa; Chordata; Actinopteri; Esociformes; Esocidae. The record is from Ensembl.
UGUUAGCGAUGAGCUUGUUCCUUGCUCCUUGCUGGCUUCGGUUGGUUAUUAGCUGGCGUCAGUUAGCUGUAUGCUAGCUCCAGUCAAGUGUUUUUCCGUUCCGGGUAGCACUUUGCUAAUUUGCUCAGCCGUGUUCUAUUUGUGUUCACAUGAAGGUAAUGUUUCUGACUAACUGCGCUACAGCAUGGUUUGGCGUUUGCUCUGUAGCCGACUGGAAGGACCUGCAACGGGUGGUGGAAACCGCCCAGCACAUCACUGGUACCAAGCUCCCGGCCAUCGUAGACCUCUAGCACAAGCUGUGUCUGCACAGGGUGUGCAGCAUCAUCAUUAAGGGACCCUUAACAUUCAUACCACAAACUGUUUGCCCUCCUUCCAGACAGCACUCAGACAGACACGACAGGCAGGGUGAAGGGACAAGUGCUCAGCUACAGAGAAGUGUCAGUUGGCUGUGUCAGUCCAGGCAGAGUCGUUUUGCCUAACAACCCUGGCACCGCGACCUUGACACCCAGCGUGGUCUGAGCACGCUCCUACCGGCUCCUCAGAUCAGCUGAGUCACCAUGGGAAACUGUUCGUGUGGAAAACAGAGAAAGAAGACAAAUGAAGAUGGGAAUGACAGUGAUGAUCCCAGGGAUCCCGAAACAGACAAAAAGGAAGAGGAUCUGACAUAUGCCACCAUCGACCACGUAAACACCCAGACAGCCAGAGUCAUCGUGGAUUCAAGCAAUAGUGAUUGUGACUAUGCCGUGAUUAACCUUCCAGCUGACCCUGGCCUCCAAUCGCCAAUCAAAGAAGACUGCACGGAUGACUAUGUCCUCAUGGGCUGACCUCAGGGACAAUGUUUAUUUGAGGGUAGGAUGAGAGGGGGUAGGAGAGUUGCGGCGACAUGGAAACUGGAUAAGCUGCAUAAGACUUGACCUGGUCCACUGAUACGACCAUGACAUACAAACUGUUCUAGAAGCAGUGUGGGCUGGCUGAAUAAUGGGUCUGUUGGUUGUGUUGUUGCGAGCUUAUACUCAGGGGGUUAAAUCGGGCGGGGGCCAGCUGAGCUGCAACACACAUGGUUGACAUGAGACCUGGGGAGAGCUGAGGUCCAGGACUUCCACUGGCCAGUAGUUUCUUUUUUUUUUUUAUAUACAAGUAGAAAAUAAAAAGUAGGGCUCCCCCACUUCCCAAAUCCCGGUGUAACUCCUGCUCAUAUCGUAUACUUGUGUUAAUGUAUGUACAGUAGGCAAAAAAUGUUUUGUUAUUUAUUUGAAACACCUUAGCUUGCAGAGUUUUUUUGUAUAAUUUCAGCUGGUUGUUUUCCAUUUUGUUUGACAUGUUCCAACCUGGACAUUUAUUUAUUUUUGAGAAAUAUAACAUAUAAUAUUAAAAACAUAUUCUUUACAAUAUGUUUUUAAUGUGUUGUGUUUAAGAUCCUGGAGUCUCUAAUGACUCAUAAGUCCUUGUGUCAGCACAGCCAGUGGACUUUCCUGCUGGCAGAAUCCAAUGCGACAGAUCAGCCACCAUCCUUGGGAUUUUUUUUUUUCAUUGACAGAGAUAGGAAGAGUUAUCAUCUGUGUAUCCGUGCUGUGCUUAUGUCUGUUUAAGCAGCUUCAUUGAGACCACGCUGAAUAAAUUAAUGCCUCCUGAUGACCCGGUUGGAGUUCAGCUCACAUGACCAUGUGGACUACCAGGUGGGAUCAGCCAUUGACCCACCAUCAUUAGGGAUCAGCCAAUGACGAACCAUCAUUAGGGACCAGCCAAUGACCCACCAUCACUAAGGAAUAGCCAAUGAAGUUCCCAUUAAUUUGACCACAUUUAAAGUGAAUGCCUUGAACAGUAAUGUCCAAAAAAAAUAAGCUUUUUUAUCUGGCAACUUUAUGGAUGAAUCCUAGGCAGAAUAUUUUUCCCCACUUAUUAAAAUUCUGAUGUUACUCAAAAGACCAAAUAGUGGAAAAAGACCAGAAUUGGUCUGCCUGUGUAAAUAGCACCUUAGAGGCAGGCCGACCAAUGUGCUAAUAGCUAUCAUACUGACACAAACCCCAGAGAUACUGCUACCAACCACACACAAAUACACCCUCUCAGUUUUGGAAGGAUCAUUUCUGCUGGUGUAAAAGAGCGAGAUAAAAGGUUUAUGCGUCAUGAUUGAAUUAUUUGAGUGAAUUGUACAGCACCACCCGAUUAUUUGUCUCUCACAAAUCUAUUUGACAUGAGAGCAUUGUGACUUGUCAACCCUGUUCAACAGCUACUGUCCUAUUUUUGAUUGUAUCCUAUCAAUAGUUAUAUAGAUACAAAGAUUGAUUAAAUAGAAACAUUGUUAGAAAAUGACAGCUUUGUAUCUUGUUUUUUAACGUCAGUGGCAGACAACUAUUUGUAACUGCAAGGUUAAAUCUGAGAGACUUUUUGUAACUUUCUAUUGUAGGGGAAGUCUGAAUUGUUCAUAAAUAGAGCUUACAAAAUAUAAGUCGGAAGAUUAAGGAACUGUGUUCCACAGAUGUUUUGUCUUAUAAACAGCGUCUUAUCUUUUUGUGUGGUCUGAGAUCACAAUCACAGUGGGUUUCAAAUUCAAUAAGCUAUUUCAAGCUAACAGGGGUGUGCACCCUCUGCUGGGCGUAGUCCUUCAUCAUACAGCAAGACGAUGUCAUAGUAAUUAUAGCAACACAGACAAGGAGUUUUCCAGGCCACAAACUGUAAAGAUGUU